RNAcentral lists this long non-coding RNA (2197 nucleotides) under Salmo salar (Atlantic salmon). RNAcentral's name for it is "lncRNA (ENSSSAG00000091614.1)". The record is from RNAcentral. Lineage: Eukaryota; Metazoa; Chordata; Actinopteri; Salmoniformes; Salmonidae.
GUUUGACAUUUACAGAGGGAUAUCUUGUUUAGACCAGACAGAUCUACAUUAGACCAACACCAGGAACAUGCAGUAUACAGUGACAGAACAUGGGCAUUUUUACAGUAUUCUCUUUGUACAUCAAAUCAGAACCGUAGAAUACAUAACGGGGCCAUAUAAGCAGACAAUGAAAGCUCUUAUAAUAUUCUAUGAUGACAUUUCUCUAAAACAGGCUAUAGGCUACAUGUGCACCACCAAGUCAGAACAGUAGGCGAAAGAGGGACCAAAUGAUUAACGUGAGGCACACGGGGCACUAACAGCUUACUACACAACACACAUGUAGUAUUACUUUCUUAGCUACAGUAUACAUAACUCCCUGGCAUAUUACAUAAUUUAUGCAUCAGUAUAAAGUAUCACCUGGUUGUGUUCACUUCCUUCCAAACCACUCAUUGUUGAAUUUUCGAUUUCCAACUUGUUGUGUAAUGUUUAUGUCCAAUGGCCGACGCGCACCGAUACGUUUGAUCUAUAUUGGAACACAGGAGUGAUGGUUGCUGAUAAUGGGCCUCUGUACACCUAUGUAGAUAUUCCAUUAAAAAUCAGCCUUUUCCAGCUACAAUAGUCAUUUACAACAUUAACAAUGUCUACACCGUAUUUCUUUAAAAAACAAGGACAUUUCUAAGUGAGCCCAAACUUUUGAACGGAAGUGUAUAUCUUUUUUUUUACAUUGUUUGCAAACUGAUAUGUGACACGUAUUAAUGCCAAAAUAACAUGCAAAACAAGCAAGCCCCCCCAAAAAUGUUUUUUUUUUUUUCUAAAAAUGUGGGGCUCAAAGGCCCCACCUGCCCUGAAUGACAGGUCGGUACUGGCCACUGUUAUCAUGCAGUUUGGGGUAGCCAACUUGGCUGUUGUUGUCAGAACAGAAUAAUUAAUGCCAUGGUCUUCCAACAUGACCACCAGGAGGCAUUGUAUGUCAAUGCAGAGCCUUGGUCAGGUCCAUUCGAGUCCACUCAGGUCUAUCAGCUGUGCUUACAUAGACCGGAUACCUGAUGACAAUCAAACAGGACACGACCCAGACCAGAAUGAAAAGUUUUAAUUUUGGACCCGGUCCCAAGUCACGUCUGGAGUAUUCGGGUGAACCUGUGAAGAACUCUAAACUGGAGUAACCAUUUAAUUUGCUUGACAUUUGUAAAUGGAAUAAUCCUUGACAUUAGUCAUCCCAUGACAUGGUAUCUUAGUUCACAGCAAGCUACAUAACAAUAAGCAAUUAACACAAUUCUCAUAUCCAAUUCUUCACACAUUCAGAGAAUUAAAUUCACAUUUAUAAGUAAAAUAACAUCAUUGACUAUUUACAUGAAAACUAAUCAUUUGGUCUAACUUAAAACCAAAUUGUUUGAAUCCUCAGCAUAAUUCAAAUGGUUCAGCAAAGUAGUCACUUCCUACUGCAGCUUCCUUAUAAAUGUGACCAGUGACAUUAUAAGGGGUUUUAGUAGCACAGUAGGGGCUCCCCCACACCAGUUUGACAUUUACAGAGGGAUAUCUUGUUUAGACCAGACAGAUCUACAUUAGACCAACACCAGGAACAUGCAGUAUACAAAAUGCAUAAAGACAAACGUUUUAACAAUGGCUGUUCACAGUCAUGUAUCAGCUGUAUAACUACAGUAGUCUGGUUUGAUUCUGCUACUCUUCUUAGAAAUAUGAAAGCACCUGUACUUUAAGAAGUGAGUAAACUCUACAAUUGCAAUACACAGGCUCCCUGUUCACUGAGUCUAGCUCACGUUCGGUCCAUUGACUACAGUCAUUUCUCCCAUCAUGCUGUUCUUCUCUUCUAGUUCCUAAAACUUGCCUCCCUGGCCACAUUUUGUACUCUGCUCUCGUCAUCAUAUUCGUAACUCAGGGUUCAGUUCAGUGUCACCGAACUAGGGAAAACCAUGAUUAACCACUUUCAGGUGCCGUUUGCCUCGUUGCAUAACACCGAAAGAAUAGUUCAGACAUGACGGCACAACACAUUGCUCAAUGUUGCUCCAAGUUCUACAUUGAACACAGGCCUUAUUUUAAGUUGCAGUUCCUCUUAUCAUCAUCCCUCCAUUUUGUUUUCUGUCAGUUGAAGAGAGAUUGUUGCAUCAGAGGGGGGAGACGCUUCACACAUUCAGGCAGAGUCAUCUUCAUACACAUUAAACGACCGGGUCACGCCGCUUUCCUGCCUCUCUGUGUCUCUCUG